AUGCUCUGGGUUCUCUUCAUAACGAAUAAAUCUUUCGCUUUUUACUAAAGAUUUCCGUGGAGAGGAACAGUUAGAGUUUUUAACUGAAUCUUUUGAUGUCCUGCUUAGGCAGGAGU
RNAcentral lists this small nuclear RNA (116 nucleotides) under Saimiri boliviensis boliviensis (Bolivian squirrel monkey). Its description in RNAcentral is "U5 spliceosomal RNA (ENSSBOG00000003182.1)". It matches the Rfam family "U5 spliceosomal RNA". From Rfam's summary of the family: U5 RNA is a component of both types of known spliceosome. The precise function of this molecule is unknown, though it is known that the 5' loop is required for splice site selection and p220 binding, and that both the 3' stem-loop and the Sm site are important for Sm protein binding and cap methylation. Lineage: Eukaryota; Metazoa; Chordata; Mammalia; Primates; Cebidae. The record is from Rfam by way of RNAcentral.